UUUCUGACUUUAGCAUUAAGGUGAUUCUGCUGAUACUGAAUAACUUAGGAAAUGUUGUUCCUUCUAUUUUCUGGGAGAGAUUGGAUAGCUGGUAUAAUUUUAUCUAAGUGAUCAUUUUGUGGCCAUAUUAGUUUUAUAGUGUGCUUUUAUUAUCAUUUUAAAGUUUACAGGAUCAGUAGUAAUGUCUCUCUUUCAUUUUAGAUGUUAGUAACGUUUGUCUUCUCUAUGUCUUACUAGCCUGGCUAGAAAUUUUAUUAGUGUUUUCAAAAUUGCAGCUUUUGUUUCAUUGAUAUUCUCUAUUAUUUUUCUGAUUUUAACUACACUGAUUUUUGCUGGUAUUAUUAUCAUUAUUAUUUUAUAUUAUUUAUGUGUAAAUUGCUUUUCUAUUUCUGGUUUCCUAAGAUUCUGAAGUUUAGGAUAAUGAUUUUAUAUUUUCCUUUAUUCUAACUUGUGUGGGUUUUGUUUACAGUAUUGGGGAUACUGGUGAUUGAACUCAUACUAUGCUAUGUCCUCAGCCCUUUUUAAAAUUUUGAGAAAGGAUCUCCCCAAGUUUUCCUGGUGGGACUUGAACUUAAAAUACUCCUGCCUCAGCUUCCCUCAGUGCUAUUAUUAUAGCCCCAGGGCCUUGGAGCCCAGUCCCCGGAGCAGAAGACUGAAGCACAUAGGAAAAUGGAAGACAGAAGAGAGGAACGGACAGGGCAGAGUUAGCGCUCCCACCGAGUGACUCCAAAGGAUUCCUAGAAAAGAUGCAGCUUUCAAAGGCGACUGCAGUGAGGAGUAUCUGUGAACAAUUUCAAGAAUCACUUCUGAAGAAAUACCAGUACAGAAAUUAUUAUGAUUUGCAAUCACACCUGUGUGUACUGAACAACAUGACCUGUGAAAUCCUGCAGUAUAUUAUAGAAGAAGCACAUAAGGAGUGAUAUGGCACAUUCUCAAUUGAGGAUAACUUAUGAAAAACAUUUUAUCCAUUGGACACCUCUUCUUUUUUUUUUGAUAAUUUUCAUACAGUCUUAAUCUAGGUUAUCCAUUUCAGUCAUGUAGUUUGAGAGCAUAAAUAUAGCAAUCACAAAACCAAAAGUAUGUUCAAUACUUUGAAAUUAUUAUUGCUAAUUUUCUUGAUCAUUUUCUAAAUAAUGGAUAAUUAAAUAUUUUCAAGUAUCCACUAUACUUUGUACAAAACUGUACAAAAACAGUGAAAUAUAAUCCUUUGCAUAUACACUCACAUAUACACACUCAUAUUUAUAAAUAUCAAAUGGCAAUGAAUGAUGAAAUAUAAAAACACAAGGACAAAGUCCAUUCCUUUGAUAAAAUAGUAUUUCCAAUUUUACAAUGUAUUCCAGCUACCUGUGGUCAUGUACACCUGUAAUCCCAGUACUCAGAAGGCUGAGGCAGGAAGCUCACCAUGAGUUCAAGGGGAGCAUGGGCUACAUAGUGAGUUCAAGGCCAGCCUGAACUACAUAACAAGACCCUACCUUAAAAACAUAUUCAAAUCAAAUCAAAUGCAUUCCAUAGUGGUUUUACUAAUAUACAUUUCCACCUACAGUGUAGCAGGGUUCUUUUGUCCCCACAGCUUUGCCAGUACCAACUAUUUGUUAUUGAUUGUUUGAUGAUAGCCGUUCUUUCAGGAGUGAAAUGAAAUCUCAGUGUUGUCAUUUGCAUUUCUCUAAUGAUCAGUGAUGUUGAACAUUUAUGCGUUUUAUUGGCCAUUUAUGCUUCAUGUAAGAAGUGUCUAUUCAUUUCAGAUGUCCAUCUUUUGAUUGGGUCUUUUAUUUUGGGGGCUCUAAUUUUUUUGAGUUCUUUAUAUGUUAUAAAUGGAGAACUAAAAAAAAAAAAACUAAAGUAGAAAUUCCAUCUGAUCCAGCUAUGUGUCUUCUCACAAGAGUGAAAGAUGUCAUAUUGCAGUGAUAUGCAUUAAUAUGUUUAUAGCAGCACAAAUUAUAAUAGCUAAAUCUUGAAUGUUAUAUGUUCAUGAACAGAUGAAUGGUUAAAAACGAUGUGAUAUUUAUAUACAUAAUGAAGUAAUUUUCUGCCAUGAAGAAGGAUAAAACUUGAGUAAUUUGUAGGAAAAUGGAUGCACUUUGAGACCAUAAUGUUAACCAAAAUGAAUCAGACACACAAGCUUAGAUAUUGCAUGAUUUCUCUUAUAUGUGAACCCCAAAAUUCAAAUAAAGAACAAAA
Molecule: long non-coding RNA, 2178 nt
Organism: Heterocephalus glaber (naked mole-rat)
Lineage: Eukaryota; Metazoa; Chordata; Mammalia; Rodentia; Bathyergidae
Source: Ensembl